UCUUGUCUGCUCCCAACCUAGGCCCCGGACAGGUGUGCAGGAUGCCUUUGGGAAGCCCCUGGGCACAGUGGCCAGGGUUUACUUUGGCCAGGUCACCCUGUCCCUCUACGCCAAGCUUUCAGAUAAGGGCCAUGUGACUGAGGCUCUACAGGGAGCCAAGUUCAAGUUCCUGGCCACCAGAAGAUCCAUAUCUCAAGGAAGUGGAGCUUCCCCAAAUGUAAUGCUGAUGAAUUUGAAGACGUGGUAGCUGAGAAGUGCCUUAUCCCUGUUGGCUGUAGGGUCAAAUGUAUCCUCACUUGUGGUCCCCUGGACAAGUGGCAGGCCCUGUACUCCUGA
This 336-nucleotide long non-coding RNA is filed under the name Mus musculus (house mouse). Its description in RNAcentral is "long non-coding RNA chr4:129379843-129380179". Lineage: Eukaryota; Metazoa; Chordata; Mammalia; Rodentia; Muridae. The record is from RNAcentral.